Molecule: transfer RNA, 74 nt
Rfam family: tRNA
About the family: Transfer RNA (tRNA) molecules are approximately 80 nucleotides in length. Their secondary structure includes four short double-helical elements and three loops (D, anti-codon, and T loops). Further hydrogen bonds mediate the characteristic L-shaped molecular structure. tRNAs have two regions of fundamental functional importance: the anti-codon, which is responsible for specific mRNA codon recognition, and the 3' end, to which the tRNAs corresponding amino acid is attached (by aminoacyl-tRNA synthetases). tRNAs cope with the degeneracy of the genetic code in two manners: having more than one tRNA (with a specific anti-codon) for a particular amino acid; and 'wobble' base-pairing, i.e. permitting non-standard base-pairing at the 3rd anti-codon position.
GUUUCCAUGGGAAAGUUGGUUAAUCCGUCCGCCUGACACGCGGGAGAUCCCCAGUUCGAGCCUGGGUGGAAACA